CCUGCAGGCUCCCUGGAACUAUUUGUUUCUGAGACUUGCUUCAAAUCCAUGGCAACCUUCUGAUGGGCCUAGUAAGUCAUGAUAUUUGAUGAAGGAGGCUCAAUUAUGUCACCUGGUACUUCAUUCAACAAAUGAUAUAGCCUGCUCUCUGGAUGAUAAGAAGUAAAUAUCUAAAUGAAAGGCCAUAAGUAUCUGAAAAGGAGGAAAAACUGAAAAUAAGACAGAACAUAACAGCCCACGACAUAACAUACCCUGCUCCAGGUCAUUAAUACGAGGCAGAGCCGCUUCUCUCUGACAGUGUCCCAAUUACUGCUGCAUGUACAACAUGGAAGAGUCGUAAGGACAAGGGCUCUAACAGCAGUCAACUUAACUCAUACCGAUAGCCAUCAGGUCAGUGGUUGCUGACCUGUGGGGAAUGAGAGCCAUCAGAUCAAAAAGUUUACUCGGAGACCGGAAAGACCCAUAUGUUGUUUGGCAUGACGGCUGGUAACAGGAGCAGUGCACAACUUGUUAUACACAC
Molecule: long non-coding RNA, 520 nt
Organism: Mesocricetus auratus (golden hamster)
Lineage: Eukaryota; Metazoa; Chordata; Mammalia; Rodentia; Cricetidae
Exons: 3
Source: RefSeq, a predicted model, not a curated record